RNAcentral lists this ribosomal RNA (311 nucleotides) under Telmatobius marmoratus (marbled water frog). Its description in RNAcentral is "partial 12S ribosomal RNA". It matches the Rfam family "Bacterial small subunit ribosomal RNA", at positions 870 to 1349 of the family's 1533-position model. Lineage: Eukaryota; Metazoa; Chordata; Amphibia; Anura; Ceratophryidae. The record is from RNAcentral.
CGCCCGGGAACUACGAGCAAAGCUUAAAACCCAAAGGACUUGACGGUACCCCAUUCCCCCUAGAGGAGCCUGUCCUAUAAUCGAUAACCCCCGUUUAACCUCACCAUUUUUAGUCUAUCAGCCUGUAUACCUCCGUCGUCAGCUUACCUCGUGAGCGAAUCUUAGUGAGCUUAAUGCCCUUACGCCAACACGUCAGGUCAAGGUGCAGCAAAUGAAAUGGGAAGAGAUGGGCUACACUUUCUAAUAUAGAAAACACGAAAGACUAUUUAUGAAACCUAGUCAGAAGGCGGAUUUAGCAGUAAAAAGAAACU